AGAAUUCAGUUUAGUUGAGCUCCACAUUUACCAAGUGACUGAGACAAAGCUCCAGCAGACGUGAAUUGCAGCUUGGGUCCGUUUUCGUAGAGAACGACACCAAUGAAGCCCCUGUGUCUGCCGGGUCUCAGGCAUUGUGCCAAGGGCCUGCCGGGAUAGAAAGAGGAAGGACACAAGUUUCGAGCUCAGUCUGAUGAAGGAGACACGUAAACAGCUCUGUACAACAUCUCUUCUCAUCAGCUGCACUUGCUGUGACCAGAGGGUGGCUGAUUUCUGAAAUUCAUUGGAACAUAA
Molecule: long non-coding RNA, 294 nt
Filed under: Monodelphis domestica (gray short-tailed opossum)
Lineage: Eukaryota; Metazoa; Chordata; Mammalia; Didelphimorphia; Didelphidae
Description: lncRNA (ENSMODG00000034220.2)
Source: RNAcentral